AGCGCCGCGGCGCCUUUUAAGCGGUGGGGCCGCCCUCCCCCGCCACCGGAAUGCGCCCGCGCUGCGCCGGCCCGACCGGUUUUUCCGGGCCAGGCGGCUCCCGGGCCGGCUGGUCGCGCGGCGGGUCGUCCGGGGCCCCAGUACCUGCUCGGCGCGCCCGCGCGGGGGUGGCCCUGACUCACCGGCCUCCCGGCCCCGCCCGGCGCCCCCGCCUCGGGCGCACAGCCUGGGAGCCCCUGGGGGCCGCACCCGCACUGUCUCGCCUGGGACCCGGCGCCCAGACUCACUGCGGAAAGGGGGUGUGACACUGGCCGAGCUGGUGCCCAGGGCGGCCCCGGCAGCCCCACAGGCACGCCCGGCCAGCAGAAGACCAGUGUCCUCUCGGCUCAGAACCUCAGGUUGGUCCCAGGCCAGGACGCAGCUGCCAGGUUGUGAUGGACCCCCCCAGGCAUGUCCACACAUGCCACAUGUGGCUCCCUCUCACCACCACCCUGAUUAGUGAGUAGCAAAGGUUUUAUUUCCAUUUUGCAGUUGGGGAAACUGAGGCAUAGAGAGGGGCAGUGAUUUCUCGGAGGUUAAACAGUUCUCAGUGGUGGAGCUGGGACUCCACACCCGGCAUCUCUGCUGAGUCUGUAGGCCAGAGAGUCUGUGUGUGAGGUCAAGUGCGGGGGCAGAGGGACACAUCUGAGGGACACAGAGGUGUGUGACCCAGAAGAGGAACUUGGGAAUUCCUCCUCCUCACCACCACCACCACCACCAUGGAGGCCAGAAGAACCCACCUCUCCUGUCCCCGAUUCUAAGCCCUGGUCCAGCCCAAUCCAGGGCAGACCCGUCCUUACACACUGUCACUAUCUCCAGCAUCAGAGGGGACUGGUGACACAGGGGAGGAAGGUGACAAGCACAAGCACCUGUGGCUCCCAAUUGCAGCAGGAGGUAUCAAGGUGUGACCAGAAGGGGAACUUCCUAUCACGAAAGAGAAAUCGAGUUCCCUGUAGCUGUGGGUGGGGGAGCCCUGGGGGGCCCUGUCUGGGAAGUCUGAUUUUAUGAUGAAAAUGCUGGGAAAAGGUAGAUAGCUGCCUAAAUGUGGAGAUGUUUUCUGAGAUAACCCUGAGGUCCUGGUGAUUUGAGAUGGGCUGGAGGCCUCAUCCAGAGGGAAAUUACUGGGUGUGGGCCAUGCAGCUCUCCUCUGCGGAGUCUGCUCCCCCCGAGACCCCGUGGGGCUCAGGGGACUCCCCCGCGCUUAUCCAGCACUCGCUGUGCCAAGCCUGGCUCCCCUGUCCCAUGCCAGCCCCAUGCCAUGUCUCCCAGUGGCACUGCCUUUCAGAGGGGAGGAGGCUGCCCUCGUGCCAGGCAGGCUCACAGUCCAGCUCCGCCAUGUGCCAGCGUGGAACCCGGAGCACAGCCCUGGGCCUGAGCUUCCUCCUCUGUGACAUGAGAAGGAAGAUGAAGCAACACCCUCUCAGGGGUGUAGCGGACGACAAGCCAGCACAGGCAGAAAGUGAGCCUCCAGCACUGUCAUCUGCGGCUGCUCCCUCUCACAUGGUGCGGUGCGCCUGGGAGCCCAGCAGCCCUUUCGCUCCCCUGGUGCUACUCUGACUCUCCGAGGAGCUAACUUACCGGGCCAGGCUGGCCUCUCCCCAAGGAACACAAAAUGACCCCUAAACAUGUGCCCGCGACUUGCCAGAGCGUUCAGAGACGCGUGCCCAGCCCAGAAGCUGCUCACGGUAGGGCUCUGUGUCCCACAAGCACGUGGAGGAGCCCAGCCCUGGUGGGGAGCUGCCCCCACCUGUCUGGCUGGCGGAAGCUUCUCCUCGGCCAUCAGUGACCCACCUGGGGAAACCAGCUCAGCAUGUGCUGUCCACGGGCCACUCAGGAGACAGCGGGCAUGCUACACCGGCAGGUUGGCACCCGCUCUGGGAGGGUGCUGCCACCUCGGGUAACAGGAGCCACCUGCGGCUUUCACAACCUGGGGCUCCACGGGGCCUGGGAGAAGUGACGAGUGUGGCGUGGCCAUGAGUGACAGACUCUGGCCUUCUCCAGUCCCUCGGGAGCCGAGCUGAAGGGGGUGGGUGCCUCCUGUGAGCUGCUGUAUGAGGGAGCCCCGGAGAGGACAGGGAGGUGCAGUGAUCUGCCGUGGGACCCGAGAGGUGGCCUUAUCCCUCCUCGCCUCCAUUGGGCAUUUGUCCGACUCCCAUUGCCUCCCCUAUGGCCUUCUGAGGGUCCCAGCCCACUAGCAACAGCAGGGGAUCCUGGCUCGUGAGCCUCUGCACCCCCCACUCAUGGGCCCCCACUCAUCAGGGUGUGGGGCAAAGGUUCCCCAAGACUUGCCAUGCUUAUGUGGCAUUACCUGGUUGUGCAAGGCCCAGGCACACCCGUGUCUGGGCGAGAAUCUGGAAGGCUGCCAGCCAAGGUGCCAGCCCGGGCCUGGGAACCAGGCUGAGAAGCCUGCAGGUGCGGGUGGAGCCGCCUCCAGCCCGGCCCACCUAGGAGAGGCCCCAGCUGCACAGUGGAUGCCAAAGACAAGCUCUUGGGGUCACACUUUUGCCCAAUAUCUACAGGGCACAUGCCCUCAGGCUGCUCUCUCCUGAGCCCCCAGCCCAGGGCCCAAUGGACAAACGGAUGGGAAUCCUCAUGUGGGCAGUUAGGGAGGCACCGAGGUGGUGGGGGCCCCGGGGGAGGCAGCCCCCACAGCUCCUUCUGCCCAGUAGGGGGGUUUCAGGGACUGUGAGCAGGAGGGAAGGCCAUGGCCAGCCAGGCCCAGUGUCGCCAGGUGGGCCUGAGCCUGGCACGUGCCCUUGCCCCACUGGACUGCUCACCGUUUGGACAAGGAACUGGCCGGGGGUCCAAACACCUGAUGUCAUUCCCAGACGGGCUUCUGACAAAGCAUGCGGCUGCCCACUGGCCUUAGAGAGCCACACCCACUGGACCCGGGCCUGCCCAUCACACACCUGCCCACAGCAGGGCCAGCCCCCACCCGCCC
Equus caballus (horse) is the source of this 2980-nucleotide long non-coding RNA. Lineage: Eukaryota; Metazoa; Chordata; Mammalia; Perissodactyla; Equidae. The record is from Ensembl.